This 525-nucleotide ribosomal RNA is filed under the name uncultured bacterium. RNAcentral describes it as "bacterial SSU rRNA". It matches the Rfam family "Bacterial small subunit ribosomal RNA", at positions 133 to 653 of the family's 1533-position model. The record is from RNAcentral.
GUAGUGGGGGACAACGUUUCGAAAGGAACGCUAAUACCGCAUACGUCCUACGGGAGAAAGCAGGGGACCUUCGGGCCUUGCGCUAUCAGAUGAGCCUAGGUCGGAUUAGCUAGUUGGUGGGGUAAUGGCUCACCAAGGCGACGAUCCGUAACUGGUCUGAGAGGAUGAUCAGUCACACUGGAACUGAGACACGGUCCAGACUCCUACGGGAGGCAGCAGUGGGGAAUAUUGGACAAUGGGCGAAAGCCUGAUCCAGCCAUGCCGCGUGUGUGAAGAAGGUCUUCGGAUUGUAAAGCACUUUAAGUUGGGAGGAAGGGCAUUAACCUAAUACGUUAGUGUUUUGACGUUACCGACAGAAUAAGCACCGGCUAACUCUGUGCCAGCAGCCGCGGUAAUACAGAGGGUGCAAGCGUUAAUCGGAAUUACUGGGCGUAAAGCGCGCGUAGGUGGUUUGUUAAGUUGGAUGUGAAAGCCCCGGGCUCAACCUGGGAACUGCAUCCAAAACUGGCAAGCUAGAGUACGGUA